GGGUGCAAGCGUUACUCGGAAUUACUGGGCGUAAAGCGUGCGUAGGUGGUUCGUUAAGUCUGUCGUGAAAGCCCCGGGCUCAACCUGGGAAUGGCGAUGGAUACUGGCGGGCUAGAGUGCGGUAGAGGAGAGUGGAAUUCCCGGUGUAGCAGUGAAAUGCGUAGAGAUCGGGAGGAACAUCAGUUGCGAAGGCGGCUCUCUGGACCAGCACUGACACUGAGGCACGAAAGCGUGGGGAGCAAACAGGAUUAGAUACCCUGGUAGUCCACGCCCUAAACGAUGCGAACUGGACGUUGGGAGCAACUAGGCUCUCAGUGUCGAAGCUAACGCGUUAAGUUCGCCGCCUGGGGAGUACGGUCGCAAGACUG
Molecule: ribosomal RNA, 368 nt
Filed under: uncultured bacterium
Lineage: Bacteria
Description: bacterial SSU rRNA
Rfam family: Bacterial small subunit ribosomal RNA
Source: RNAcentral